UAGUCAUAUGCUUGUCUCAAAGAUUAAGCCAUGCAUGUCUCAGUGUAAACUUUUAAACGGUGAAACUGCGAAUGGCUCAUUAAAACAGUUAUAGUUUAUUUGAUAGUCACUUUUACAUGGAUAACCGUGGUAAUUCUAGGGCUAAUACAUGCGGUCCCGCAAGGGAUGUGUUUAUUAGAUUUUAAACCAACUCUGGGCAACCAGGUAAAUUGGAAUGAUAAUAACCGAACGAAUCGCACUUCGCAGUCGCGAUAGAUCAUUCAAGUUUCUGACCUAU
RNAcentral lists this ribosomal RNA (277 nucleotides) under uncultured eukaryote. Its description in RNAcentral is "partial 18S ribosomal RNA". It matches the Rfam family "Eukaryotic small subunit ribosomal RNA", at positions 21 to 315 of the family's 1831-position model. The record is from RNAcentral.